GACGAACGCUGGCGGCGUGCUUAACACAUGCAAGUCGAACGGUGAAGCGCUUUCCUUUUUGGUUGGUGUGGAUGAGUGGCGAACGGGUGAGUAACACGUGAGUAACCUGCCCCCUUCUUCUGGAUAACCGCAUGAAAGUGUGGCUAAUACGGGAUAUUCUGCGCCUGCUGCAUGGUGGGUGUGGGAAAGAUUGUGCCUUUGGGUGUUUUCGGUGGGGGAUGGGCUCGCGGCCUAUCAGCUUGUUGGUGGGGUGAUGGCCUACCAAGGCGGUGACGGGUAGCCGGCCUGAGAGGGUGGACGGUCACACGGGGACUGAGACACGGCCCAGACUCCUACGGGAGGCAGCAGUGGGGAAGAUUGCACAAUGGGCGCAAGCCUGAUGCAGCGACGCCGCGUGAGGGAUGGAGGCCUUCGGGUUGUGAACCUCUUUCGCCAGUGAAGCAGGCCUGCUCCUUGUGGGUGGGUUGACGGUAGCUGGAUAAGAAGCGCCGGCUAACUACGUG
This 503-nucleotide ribosomal RNA is filed under the name uncultured bacterium. Its description in RNAcentral is "partial 16S ribosomal RNA". It matches the Rfam family "Bacterial small subunit ribosomal RNA", at positions 28 to 507 of the family's 1533-position model. The record is from RNAcentral.